GAGAGUUUGAUCCUGGCUCAGGAUGAACGCUGGCGGCGUGCUUAACACAUGCAAGUCGAGCGAAGCAGUUAAGAAGAUUCUUCGGAUGAUUCCUGACUGACUGAGCGGCGGACGGGUGAGUAACGCGUGGGUGACCUGCCCCAUACCGGGGGAUAACAGCUGGAAACGGCUGCUAAUACCGCAUAAGCGCACAGAGCUGCAUGACUCGGUGUGAAAAACUCCGGUGGUAUGGGAUGGGCCCGCGUCUGAUUAGGCAGUUGGCGGGGUAACGGCCCACCAAACCGACGAUCAGUAGCCGGCCUGAGAGGGCGACCGGCCACAUUGGGACUGAGACACGGCCCAAACUCCUACGGGAGGCAGCAGUGGGGAAUAUUGCACAAUGGGGGAAACCCUGAUGCAGCGACGCCGCGUGAGCGAAGAAGUAUUUCGGUAUGUAAAGCUCUAUCAGCAGGGAAGAUAAUGACGGUACCUGAUUAAGAAGCCCCGGCUAACUACGUGCCAGCAG
This 505-nucleotide ribosomal RNA is filed under the name swine fecal bacterium FPC73. Its description in RNAcentral is "bacterial SSU rRNA". It matches the Rfam family "Bacterial small subunit ribosomal RNA", at positions 7 to 514 of the family's 1533-position model. The record is from RNAcentral.